GACGAACGCUGGCGGCGUGCUUAACACAUGCAAGUCGAACGGAAAGGCCCUGCUUUUGUGGGGUGCUCGAGUGGCGAACGGGUGAGUAACACGUGAGUAACCUGCCCUUGACUUUGGGAUAACUUCAGGAAACUGGGGCUAAUACCGGAUAGGAGCUCCUGCUGCAUGGUGGGGGUUGGAAAGUUUCGGCGGUUGGGGAUGGACUCGCGGCUUAGCAGCUUGUUGGUGGGGUAGUGGCUUACCAAGGCUUGGACGGGUAGCCGGCCUGAGAGGGUGACCGGCCACAUUGGGACUGAGAUACGGCCCAGAGGCCUACGGGGGGCAGCAGUGGGAAAUAUUGCACAAUGGGCGGAAGCCGGAUGCAGCAACGCCGCGUGCGGGAUGACGGCCUUCGGGUUAUAAACCGCGUUCGCCUGUGACGAAGCGUGAGUGACGGUAAUGGGUAAAGAAGCACCGGCUAACUACGUG
This 468-nucleotide ribosomal RNA is filed under the name uncultured bacterium. RNAcentral's name for it is "partial 16S ribosomal RNA". It matches the Rfam family "Bacterial small subunit ribosomal RNA", at positions 28 to 507 of the family's 1533-position model. The record is from RNAcentral.